AGCCCCGUCGUCUAGUGGCCCAGGACCUCGGGCUUUGGACCCGGUAACCCCGGUUCGAAUCCGGGCGGGGCUA
Molecule: transfer RNA, 73 nt
Filed under: Candidatus Aenigmatarchaeota archaeon
Lineage: Archaea; Nanobdellati; Candidatus Aenigmatarchaeota
Description: tRNA-Gln
Rfam family: tRNA
About the family: Transfer RNA (tRNA) molecules are approximately 80 nucleotides in length. Their secondary structure includes four short double-helical elements and three loops (D, anti-codon, and T loops).
Source: RNAcentral